UAAUAAAAGUGUUUUAUGGCACCUUUCAAACAAAUCCAUAUCCACCUUGUGUGCAAUGUUUUUUUUUUUUUAAAUAAACACUUUAUUUUUUAAUUGCCAAUUUAUCUGAAGAUCAGUAUUAUUAUGAAUUAACUUAAUUCAAAAUA
RNAcentral lists this unclassified non-coding RNA (146 nucleotides) under soil metagenome. Its description in RNAcentral is "partial internal transcribed spacer 1". The record is from RNAcentral.